CUAGUAAGUCUUAUCUGCCAUAGUCUUUUAAGUAAAUGUGAUUUAGUCCCUGCUAAAUUUCAUAUGAAAUUAUAAAUGAUGCCCUACUUUCAGUGACAUGAAUAAUCAAGCUAUCAUACCCUGUAAAUUUAAUCCUUACCUUCAACACAGAACCUGUUCUUUCAUUGCAUUAAGUUACUGCUUCUAAUUUUCUAUUUCCCUGCAGUAUCCAUGGCCAGUGUGCGAUUAUAAUGUUUGAUGUAACCUCAAGGUUGACUUACAAGAAUGUUCCUACAUGGCAUAGGGACCUGUGCAGGUUUGUUUCAAUCUUUCUGUGUCAUACAACUUGCACUUUGAUGUAUAAUGUUGGGGGAUUCUGAUGUUCAAUUAUGAAUUCUUGCAGGGUGUGUGAAAACAUCCCCAUUGUCCUGUGCGGUAACAAGGUUGAUGUGAAGAACAGGCAGGUCAAGGCCAAGCAGGUCACCUUCCACAGGAAGAAGAACCUGCAGUACUAUGAGAUUUCUGCCAAGAGCAACUAUAACUUUGAGAAGCCUUUCCUUUACCUUGCAAGGAAGUUGGCUGGGUAACUAACUAAUUACUUUAAUUUUUCGCAUCUUGAGGUUACAGCAAAUACCUACAUAUAUUAAUUAUUGUCGAUGGCUUUGGUCCUAUCAGCGAUCCCAACCUCCACUUUGUUGAAGCCGUUGCUCUUAAGCCUCCGGAAGUUACCAUUGAUAUGGCUAUGCAGCAACAG
Molecule: long non-coding RNA, 733 nt
Filed under: Setaria viridis
Lineage: Eukaryota; Viridiplantae; Streptophyta; Magnoliopsida; Poales; Poaceae
Description: long non-coding RNA (SVIR_LNC002650)
Source: RNAcentral